Long non-coding RNA from Zingiber officinale, 1509 nucleotides. RefSeq lists it as uncharacterized. The record is from RefSeq and is a predicted model, not a curated record. The transcript has 4 exons. Lineage: Eukaryota; Viridiplantae; Streptophyta; Magnoliopsida; Zingiberales; Zingiberaceae.
AUUCUUGAUUUCUUUCUCACAAUCUCACCCUCGCCGCCUCGCGUUUCUCACUUUCUCGUCGCCCGUUGCCGAACAGCCGAAGCCAUCUCUGAAGUUGGAGACUCAUCUCGCCCUCUUCGACGACAUCCUCUCCAAGUUUCACAAAUGGAAGCGAUCAAUCCCUAGCUGAGCGGCAGCGGCUGCUUGAAACAAGUCAAACAACCACAGGUUGCUCACCAGCUCACCUUCGGUCCUUCGCGGCGAUUCUCCUUCCUUGGCUGUCAUCCGCUGAUCCGCACCGACCCUGCGCGUCUCCAGUGCCUUUAAGUUUUAACCUUACCAUCGAGAGGAUUUCGCCAGCGUCGGACCCGUCGAUAACCUCAACGGCUGCUCCUCCAGUCCUCCGUAUAAUGGUGAACUAUAUCUUUUAGCUACAGUCCAGAUCAGGGGUAUUUGAACCAGCCAGUCUUGGUUUGGGAGAAGUUGAAUGAGGUAUGUCUUUAUGACUCAUUAUCAAGUCCUUUUCUAAAUUAUUUUACUUGAUUUUCUUAAUAGUGUUGUUACCUAUGCUUUUGAAUGUCCAGAUGUUUUUUUGUUAAUUCCAUUUCAUUUUUAAAGUAGUUCUGCCAUAAUUUAUUCUCCUUGUACGGAUAAGGUCAACGGAGACGCAAUCUUCAUGACCGGAAACUUUAUGGAAUUUAAAGAUCUUGAUUUUUCGCCUAGUUAAUUAGGGUUUUGUUGUUUGAUUAGGUAAUCAAUUAGGGUGACUGGAAACUUUAUGGAAUUUAAAGAUCUUGAUUCUUCGCCUAGUUAAUUAGGGUUUUGUUGUUUGAUUAGGUAAUCAAUUAGGGUUUGUAUACUUAGAUUUUACCAUAAUUUCAACUUUUGCUUUUCAAUUUGCAUCGAAAUUAUUCUCAUUAUGCAGAUGAUUUCUACUUCUUCUUCUUCUCUAGUACCUAUAUUUUUCCAAAUUUGUUACUUUUUUCAAGUCGAAUAGAAAUGUUCUUAUUAUCACUAGAAGAUGAAUUUUCCUUCUUAUUCUUUAUUACAAAUUAAAAUAUUGUAGUUGGUCACACUUGGUAGGCUCCUGUGUCUUGACCAUUUGCACUAAUGGCUAGUAGUCACCCGUGAUUUACCUCCUCCGUGUUGGCCUAAGGACGGGUUAGCGGGGGCGCUGGGGGCGAGCGAAUCGCCUUUUGCCAUAUGAUUAAGAACAACAAGCAGAUAUAAACAAAUGGAUUUGUGUGUGUGUGUGAUACAAGAACUUUUUUAUUGGUUUACUCUAAAAAGCCUUGGCUUCUAGUUGUUUAUUCUUUUCAGAUGGAUUCUUUUAGCUAGUAAUAUCCGUGACAAUACCCGUGAUAUGUUUUGAUUGUGAGAUAAUAUUACUGUUGGAGUCUGAUGUUAUGGUUUUUAAAGGUGGAGCAAUGCAUAUUUUUUGAAGGGUUGUAUAUGUGGUUGAUUCAUUGAGCAAAAUUUUAUUUGGUGGAUUUCUAAAGGUUUUCUUUGCAAUUGAGAGUUCGAAAGACA